UGCCAGCCGCCGCGGUAAUACAUAAAAAGCAAGCGUUAUCCGGAAUUAUUGGGCGUAAAGGGCGCGCAGGCGGUCUUGUCCGUCAGGUGUGAAAGCUCGGGGCUCAACCCCGGAAGUGCACUUGAAACAGCAAGACUUGAAUACGGUAGAGGAGAGAGGAAUUCCUGGUGUAGAGGUGAAAUUCGUAGAUAUCAGGAGGAACACCGAUGGCGAAGGCAUCUCUCUGGGCCGAUAUUGACGCUGAGGCGCGAAGGCGUGGGUAGCGAACGGGAUUAGAUA
Molecule: ribosomal RNA, 279 nt
Filed under: uncultured bacterium
Lineage: Bacteria
Description: partial 16S ribosomal RNA
Rfam family: Bacterial small subunit ribosomal RNA
Source: RNAcentral